GACGAACGCUGGCGGCGUGCUUAACACAUGCAAGUCGAACGGAAAGGCCCUGCUUUUGUGGGGUGCUCGAGUGGCGAACGGGUGAGUAACACGUGAGUAACCUGCCCUUGACUUUGUGAUAACUUCAGGAAACUGGGGCUAAUACCCGAUAGGAGCUCCUGCUGCAUGGUGGGGGUUGGAAAGUUUCGGCGGUUGUGGAUGGACUCGCGGCUUAUCAGCUUGUUGGUGGGGUAGUGGCUUACCAAGGCUUCGACGGCUAGCCGGCCUGAGAGGGUUACCGGCCACAUUGGGACUGAGAUACGGACCAGACUCGUAUGGGAGGCAGUAGUGGGGAAUAUUGCACAAUGGGCGGAAGCCUGAUGCAGCAACGCCGCGUGCGGGAUGACGGCUUUCGGGUUGUAAACCGCUUUCGCCUGUGACGAAGCGUGAGUGACGGUAAUGGGUAAAGAAGCACCGGCUAACUACGUG
Molecule: ribosomal RNA, 468 nt
Filed under: uncultured bacterium
Lineage: Bacteria
Description: partial 16S ribosomal RNA
Rfam family: Bacterial small subunit ribosomal RNA
Source: RNAcentral